This 226-nucleotide ribosomal RNA is filed under the name uncultured bacterium. RNAcentral's name for it is "partial 16S ribosomal RNA". It matches the Rfam family "Bacterial small subunit ribosomal RNA", at positions 1275 to 1500 of the family's 1533-position model. The record is from RNAcentral.
CUAAAAGACCAUCCCAGUUCGGAUUGCAGGCUGCAACCCGCCUGUAUGAAGUUGGAAUCGCUAGUAAUCGCGGAUCAGCAUGCCGCGGUGAAUACGUUCCCGGGCCUUGUACACACCGCCCGUCACACCAUGAGAGUCGGGAACACCCGAAGUCCGUAGCCUAACCGCAAGGGGGGCGCGGCCGAAGGUGGGUUCGAUAAUUGGGGUGAAGUCGUAACAAGGUACC